This 496-nucleotide ribosomal RNA is filed under the name uncultured bacterium. RNAcentral describes it as "partial 16S ribosomal RNA". It matches the Rfam family "Bacterial small subunit ribosomal RNA", at positions 29 to 507 of the family's 1533-position model. The record is from RNAcentral.
AUGAACGCUGGCGGCGUGCCUAAUCCAUGCAAGUCGCGCGAACAGACGAGGAGCUUGCUCCUCUGACGUUAGCGGCGGACGGGUGAGUAACACGUGGAUAACCUACCUAUAAGACUGGGAUAACUUCGGGAAACCGGAGCUAAUACCGGAUAAUAUAUUGAACCGCAUGGUUCAAUAGUGAAAGACGGUUUUGCUGUCACUUAUAGAUGGAUCCGCGCCUCAUUAGCUAGUUGGUAAGAUAACGGCUUACCAAGGCAACGAUGCGUAGCCGACCUGAGAGGGUGACCGGCCACACUGGAACUGAGACACGGUCCAGACUCCUACGGGAGGCAGCAGUAGGGAAUCUUCCGCAAUGGGCGAAAGCUUGACGGAGCAACGCCGCGUGAGUGAUGAAGGUCUUCGGAUCGUAAAACUCUGUUAUUAGGGAAGAACAAAUGUGUAAGUAACUAUGCACGUCUUGACGGUACCUAAUCAGAAAGCCACGGCUAACUACGUG